GCCAUGCAUGUCUAAGUACAUACCUUUAUACGGCGAAACCGCGAAUGGCUCAUUAAAUCAGUUAUUGUUUAUUUGAUGGUAACCUGCUACAUGGAUAACCGUGGCAAUUCUAGGGCUAAUACAUGCUAAAAGGGCGUUGCUCUGCUUCGCUCGCUUUUAUUAGACCGAACCAAUGUGCUUCGGCACUUUUUUUGGUGACUCUGGAUAAUUCCGCUGAUCGCAUGGUCUCGCACCGGCGAUGCAUCAUUCAAAUUUCUGCCUUAUCAACUGUCGAUGGUAAGAUAUGGGCUUACCAUGGUUGUAACGGGUAACGGGGAAUUAGGGUUCGAUUCCGGAGAGGGAGCCUGAGAAACGGCUACCACAUCCAAGGAAGGCAGCAGGCGCGCAAAUUACCCACUCCCGGCACGGGGAGGUAGUGACGAAAAAUAACAAUACGGGACUCUAUUGAGGCUCCGUAAUUGGAAUGAGUACACUUUAAAUCCUUUAGCGAGUAUCUAUUGGAGGGCAAGUCUGGUGCCAGCAGCCGCGGUAAUUCCAGCUCCAAUAGCGUAUAUUAAAGUUGUUGCAGUUAAAAAGCUCGUAGUUGGAUCUUGGGUUACUCCUGGGCGGUCCUACGCAAGUGGUGUACUUCCCGGUGGUACCUUGUCUCCAUAUUGGUGCCCGCGUCCUUCGCUGGGCGUUGGCUUCGAUGUGGACGUUUACUUUGAAGAAAUUAGAGUGUUCAAAGCAGGCUAGUGCUUGAAUAAUGGUGCAUGGAAUAAUGGAAUAUGACCGUCGUCUUAUUUUGUUGGUUCGAAAGAUCGGUGGUAAUGAUUAAGAGGGACGGACGGGGGCGUUCGUAUUGCGCCGUUAGAGGUGAAAUUCUUGGAUCGGCGCAAGACGAACUACAGCGAAAGCAUUCGCCAAGAACGUUUUCAUUAAUCAAGAACGAAAGUUGGAGGCUCGAAGACGAUCAGAUACCGUCGUAGUUCCAACUGUAAACGAUGCCAACUAGCGAUCAGGGAUAGUUCUUUCUUGACUUCCCUGGCAGCUUCCGGGAAACCAAAGUUUUUGGGUUCCGGGGGAAGUAUGGUUGCAAAGCUGAAACUUAAAGGAAUUGACGGAAGGGCACCACCAGGAGUGGAGCCUGCGGCUUAAUUUGACUCAACACGGGAAAACUCACCCGGCCCGGACACCGGUAGGAUUGACAGAUUGAAAGCUCUUUCUUGAUUCGGUGGGUGGUGGUGCAUGGCCGUUCUUAGUUGGUGGAGCGAUUUGUCUGGUUAAUUCCGAUAACGAACGAGACUCUGGCUUGCUAAAUAGUGCUCGUAUACUUUCGAGUGUGCGGGUUCACUUCUUAGAGGGACUAGCGGCGUACAGCCGCACGAGAUUGAGCAAUAACAGGUCUGUGAUGCCCUUAGAUGUUCGGGGCCGCACGCGCGCUACAAUGAGGCGGGCAACAAGUUUUGCCCUGGUCCGAAAGGACUGGGUAAUCUUUUGAAACCGUCUCGUGCUAGGGAUAGGGAAUUGCAAUUAUCUCCCUUGAACGAGGAAUUCCUAGUAAGCGCAAGUCAUAAGCUUGCGUUGAUUACGUCCCUGCCCUUUGUACACACCGCCCGUCGCUACUACCGAUUGAACGAUUUAGUGAGAACCUCGGACCGUCAGCCACGGGGGACUUCGUGUUCCCUGAUGUUCGGUGGGAAGACGUUCAAACUUGAUCGUUUAGAGGAAGUAAAAGUCGUAACAAGGUUU
Molecule: ribosomal RNA, 1731 nt
Filed under: Protodrilus sp. 19 MDD-2014
Lineage: Eukaryota; Metazoa; Annelida; Polychaeta; Protodrilidae
Description: SSU rRNA
Rfam family: Eukaryotic small subunit ribosomal RNA
Source: RNAcentral